GGUAAAAUGGCUGAGUAAGUAAGCAUUAGACUGUAAAUCUAAGGACGGAGGUUUAAGCCCUCUUUUUGCCAA
RNAcentral lists this transfer RNA (72 nucleotides) under Tayassu pecari (white-lipped peccary). RNAcentral's name for it is "tRNA-Tyr". It matches the Rfam family "tRNA". Rfam says of the family: Transfer RNA (tRNA) molecules are approximately 80 nucleotides in length. Their secondary structure includes four short double-helical elements and three loops (D, anti-codon, and T loops). Further hydrogen bonds mediate the characteristic L-shaped molecular structure. tRNAs have two regions of fundamental functional importance: the anti-codon, which is responsible for specific mRNA codon recognition, and the 3' end, to which the tRNAs corresponding amino acid is attached (by aminoacyl-tRNA synthetases). tRNAs cope with the degeneracy of the genetic code in two manners: having more than one tRNA (with a specific anti-codon) for a particular amino acid; and 'wobble' base-pairing, i.e. permitting non-standard base-pairing at the 3rd anti-codon position. Lineage: Eukaryota; Metazoa; Chordata; Mammalia; Artiodactyla; Tayassuidae. The record is from RNAcentral.